CCUACGGGGGGCAGCAGUGGGGAAUAUUGGACAAUGGGCGAAAGCCUGAUCCAGCCAUGCCGCGUGUGUGAAGAAGGCCUUCGGGUUGUAAAGCACUUUCAGUGGGGAAGAAAGCCUUGGGGCUAAUACCCUCGAGGAAGGACAUCACCCACAGAAGAAGCACCGGCUAACUCCGUGCCAGCAGCCGCGGUAAUACGGAGGGUGCGAGCGUUAAUCGGAAUUACUGGGCGUAAAGCGCGCGUAGGCGGUCUGAUAAGCCGGUUGUGAAAGCCCCGGGCUCAACCUGGGAACGGCAUCCGGACCUGUCAGGCUAGAGUGCAGGAGAGGAAGGUAGAAUUCCCGGUGUAGCGGUGAAAUGCGUAGAGAUCGGGAGGAAUACCAGUGGCGAAGGCGGCCUUCUGGACUGACACUGACGCUGAGGUGCGAAAGCGUGGGUAGCAAACAGGAUUAGAUACCCUUGUAGUC
Molecule: ribosomal RNA, 465 nt
Filed under: Vreelandella stevensii
Lineage: Bacteria; Pseudomonadati; Pseudomonadota; Gammaproteobacteria; Oceanospirillales; Halomonadaceae
Description: partial 16S ribosomal RNA
Rfam family: Bacterial small subunit ribosomal RNA
Source: RNAcentral